This 492-nucleotide ribosomal RNA is filed under the name uncultured bacterium. Its description in RNAcentral is "partial 16S ribosomal RNA". It matches the Rfam family "Bacterial small subunit ribosomal RNA", at positions 29 to 507 of the family's 1533-position model. The record is from RNAcentral.
AGUGAACGCUGGCGGUAGGCCUAACACAUGCAAGUCGAACGGCAGCACAGUAAGAGCUUGCUCUUACGGGUGGCGAGUGGCGGACGGGUGAGGAAUACAUCGGAAUCUACUUUUUCGUGGGGGAUAACGUAGGGAAACUUACGCUAAUACCGCAUACGACCUACGGGUGAAAGCAGGGGAUCUUCGGACCUUGCGCGAUUGAAUGAGCCGAUGUCGGAUUAGCUAGUUGGCGGGGUAAAGGCCCACCAAGGCGACGAUCCGUAGCUGGUCUGAGAGGAUGAUCAGGCAAACUGGAACUGGGGCAAGGUCCAGACUCCUACGGGAGGCAGCAGUGGGGAAUAUUGGACAAUGGGCGCAAGCCUGAUCCAGCCAUACCGCGUGGGUGAAGAAGGCCUUCGGGUUGUAAAGCCCUUUUGUUGGGAAAGAAAAGCAGCAGGUUAAUACCCCGCUGUUCUGACGGUACCCAAAGAAUAAGCACCGGCUAACUUCGUG